GGUUGUCUUCUUGGAACAGUAUAUAUGUCAGUUGAUUGAUUUUUUUUGUAGCUUAACGCAAGUGGAACUAUUCAUUCAUGAACACAACGAUUAUAUUUUACGACGUCCCAUUUAUCAAUUAUAAUCGGUAAAGACAAAUCUCUCUACAAAUCUGACGAAAUUAACGAGAUUGUUGAUAGUUAUACACCAUCUUAUAUAUCCUUAUCCUUAUACUGUACAACUUUCG
RNAcentral lists this long non-coding RNA (226 nucleotides) under Mytilus galloprovincialis (Mediterranean mussel). Lineage: Eukaryota; Metazoa; Mollusca; Bivalvia; Mytilida; Mytilidae. The record is from RNAcentral.